GACGUAGGGGGCGAGCGUUGUCCGGAAUUACUAGGCGUAAAGGGCAGGCAGGCGGAUCCAUAAGUUUAUCGUUUAAGGCGUCGGCUUAACCGGCGUAGGGCGGUAGAUACUGUGGAUCUGGAAUGCGGUUGGGGAAGACAGAAUUCCUGGUGUAGCGGUGGAAUGCGCAGAGAUCAGGAGGAAUACCGAAGGCGAAGGCAGUCUUCCAAGCCGUUAUUGACGCUCAACUGCGAAGGUGUGGGUAUCAAACAGGAUUAGAUACCCGUGUAGUCCCUGAG
This 278-nucleotide ribosomal RNA is filed under the name uncultured prokaryote. Its description in RNAcentral is "partial 16S ribosomal RNA". It matches the Rfam family "Bacterial small subunit ribosomal RNA", at positions 524 to 801 of the family's 1533-position model. The record is from RNAcentral.